RNAcentral lists this unclassified non-coding RNA (380 nucleotides) under Hevea brasiliensis (rubber tree). The record is from RNAcentral. Lineage: Eukaryota; Viridiplantae; Streptophyta; Magnoliopsida; Malpighiales; Euphorbiaceae.
UUCUUCCCAUGCUAAUGCGUUCAAGUUUCGACGCAUGAGAUAGUGAUAUCGGAAUUGAUCCUUCAAGUUGAUUUCCUGAUACUUGUAGAAACUCAAGAUUUGGUAGCAGGAGGCCAAUGUUUGAUGGGAGAUUUCCAGAAAGUGAAUUAUAAGGCAUGGAGAAUAUGGAAGAUAUAUUAUGGAUGGAUGGAGGGAUGAUACCUGAGAGGUUAGACCUACCAAGUCCAAUAGCUGACAAGUGAUUUAGCUGCCCCAGGGAAUCUGGAAUACUUCCACCAAAGAAAUCAUCACUUGCAGAUAAACUUUCUAGCGAGCUAAGGUUGGCGAUAGAUGAUGGAAUGCAUCUGGUCAAAUAAUUGUUGUGGAUCCAGAAUUCUUUG